UACGAAGGGGACUAGCGUUGUUCGGAAUUACUGGGCGUAAAGCGCACGUAGGCGGAUUUGUUAGUCAGGGGUGAAAUCCCGGGGCUCAACCUCGGAACUGCCUUCGAUACUGCGGGUCUCGAGUCCGGGAGAGGUGAGUGGAAUUCCUAGUGUAGAGGUGAAAUUCGUAGAUAUUAGGAAGAACACCAGUGGCGAAGGCGGCUCACUGGCCCGGUACUGACGCUGAGGCGCGAAAGCGUGGGGAGCAAACAGG
This 253-nucleotide ribosomal RNA is filed under the name uncultured bacterium. RNAcentral describes it as "partial 16S ribosomal RNA". It matches the Rfam family "Bacterial small subunit ribosomal RNA", at positions 524 to 776 of the family's 1533-position model. The record is from RNAcentral.